UUUGGAUAUGAUUCAUUCGUUGCCUACCUAGCAGCUAGCUUGGUUUCCGAUUCAAGAACGCAAUCGGUAAUUAGCCGGUAAAAAAUCAGCCGGACGGUUGGGCUGGAUCGAUUGGACUUUUGAUAAUUUUCCUGACCCAUAUCAAUGCAUCUAGCAUCGCCACCUACCUUCAAUUAGCCACACCGUCACCUACCUUCCCACCGCCCCUCACAUUUCUCCCCGUCGUUCCCCAUUCUUCCUUGGUCGCCAGCUCCCUCUCUCCACCUCGUCAGGCCACCCCUCCCCUUCGUCCCCACCGCCAGCAAGAGGUUCGCAACCCCUUCUCUUCCCCGCGUUUUCAUCGAAUCCGGUCGCCCAAGUGGCCGAGGAGGUCCCCCAGCUGGCCAGCUCGGCAUGCUCGCGAGCAUCCUAGCGUUAGGCUCCGUCGGAUGCGCGCGACUUCCCCGCCCCUGCUCUUCCCCGUCCUUCUUCGAAUCCGUUCGCCGAAGUGCCCAAGGAGGCGCUCGAGCUCAGCGCACUCACGGGCGACCCAGCGCGAGGCGGGCGCCGAGGCCCGCAACAAGCCAACAAGGAGCGGGCGUGGGUGCGCAACAAUAUCUGGGCACAGUUCGAUGCCUCCACUGCUGAGCCGUGGAGAUGUGCAGGAGCCAGUGAGAUACGGCCACCUCCCAGCCAGUUCACCAGCCUCCGCGAAGAUGUGUAGGAGCCAGUGUGCCUCUGUGUGAUGUGCUAUUCAAGAUACCUCUACAUAUUUCCCCCUUCUUAAUGAAAAGGCAGCGCUCCUGUCGGUUCCUCAAAAAAAUUGUGUUAUUCAGGAUACAAUGGCACUCGAUAAUGCUUGCUAAGAAGAUAAAUUUGCUUGCAGGGCUCUUGAUGAUAUAUCCACUUUCAUCAAAUGCUUAAGGGUAUGGUCACUUGGAGAAGACAUAGCUAUGACUACAAAGAUCUGUUUUUUCAGGUGAUGAAUUGUAACCUUAUAUCCUUUAUUACUUGGAAUUGAAAAUCACAGGAAACAAUCCGUAAUUAAUUUGGAGAGAAUCUUUUAUUCUUUUCUGUCUUGCUCCUGUUCACUAUAGGAUGUACUCCCUCUGUAAAAAAAUAUAAGAGCGUUAGUGUUCUAAAUGCUCUUAUAUUUCUUUACGGAUGCAGUAUAUCAUUAUCAUUAUCAUGUAACAAAUUUACCGUAGAAACUACAA
Molecule: long non-coding RNA, 1196 nt
Organism: Triticum dicoccoides
Lineage: Eukaryota; Viridiplantae; Streptophyta; Magnoliopsida; Poales; Poaceae
Exons: 4
Source: RefSeq, a predicted model, not a curated record